RNAcentral lists this long non-coding RNA (464 nucleotides) under Sinocyclocheilus anshuiensis. RNAcentral describes it as "lncRNA (ENSSANG00000040062.1)". Lineage: Eukaryota; Metazoa; Chordata; Actinopteri; Cypriniformes; Cyprinidae. The record is from RNAcentral.
AGAAAGGAAAACUUGAAAUCGCAUCAUAUGACCCCUUUAAGGUUUGCAUACAAAUUUUACAUUUUUGCCUAGAAUCAGUCUGGACAGCCAGUGGCAAUGGAAGCUGGACAGAGACCCAAAGACAAAAUUUUUUACCUGCCUGCUGCACAUCAUUCUCUGUCCCCGGAUUGUCUGCCUGGUUUUGACUUGUGCCUGCCGACUGGUUUCUGCGCUUGCCUUUUCCUCUGGAUUUGUUUAUCUUUAUUGGACUGUUGGUGUCUACCGAGUCCGACCUUCCCGUCUGCGCUCCCCUGUCCGCCGUGUUCUCCAGUCCCGAGUCCACCUCAUCAGCCGGUGACCUGCUGACAUGUCUCAGCUGCUUUUCUUUUGUUCAGCAAACGUUCUCAAAUGCCUUUUUUUAAGCUUUUUUAUUUGUAGUCUAUUAUAUUUGAGCUAAAUAUAAUUAAUAUAACGUAGGCCUACUU